GAUGAACGCUGGCGGCGUGCCUAAUACAUGCAAGUCGAGCGAACAGACGAGGAGCUUGCUCCUCUGACGUUGGCGGCGGACGGGUGAGUAACACGUGGAUAACCUACCUAUAAGACUGGGAUAACUUCGGGAAACCGGAGCUAAUACCGGAUAAUAUAUUGAACCGCAUGGUUCAAUAGUGAAAGACGGUUUUGCUGUCACUUAUAGCUGGAUCCGCGCCGCAUUAGCUAGUUGGUAAGGUGACGGCUUACCAAGGCAACGAUGCGUAGCCGACCUGAGAGGGUGAUCGGCCACACUGGAACUGAGACACGGUCCAGACUCCUACGGGAGGCAGCAGUAGGGAAUCUUCCGCAAUGGGCGAAAGCCUGACGGAGCAACGCCGCGUGAGUGAUGAAGGUCUUCGGAUCGUAAAACUCGGUUAUUAGGGAAGAACAAAUGUGUAAGUAACUAUGCACGUCUUGACGGUACCUAAUCAGAAAGCCACGGCUAACUACGUG
This 497-nucleotide ribosomal RNA is filed under the name uncultured bacterium. RNAcentral describes it as "partial 16S ribosomal RNA". It matches the Rfam family "Bacterial small subunit ribosomal RNA", at positions 28 to 507 of the family's 1533-position model. The record is from RNAcentral.